UACAGAGGGUGCAAGCGUUGUUCGGAAUUAUUGGGCGUAAAGGGAGUGUAGGCGGCUUGUUAAGUCUUCUGUGAAAUCUACGGGCUCAGCCUGUAACGUGCAGAGGAAACUGGCGAGCUUGGGUGUCGGAGAGGAUAGGGGAAUACCCGGUGUAGAGGUGAAAUUCGUAGAGAUCGGGUGGAACACCAGUGGCGAAGGCGCCUAUCUGGCUGACAACUGACGCUGAGACUCGAAAGCAUGGGGAGCAAACAGG
This 253-nucleotide ribosomal RNA is filed under the name uncultured bacterium. Its description in RNAcentral is "partial 16S ribosomal RNA". It matches the Rfam family "Bacterial small subunit ribosomal RNA", at positions 524 to 776 of the family's 1533-position model. The record is from RNAcentral.